CCUUGACCCUCCUGAGCUUCAGUUUCUCCCUUAUAAAACAGGGAUAAUAACGGCACCUACUUCCCAGGGCUGCCGGACUAAUCCCAUGAGAUCAGGCUUAUAAAAUCUUUGUCGGGAUGCUGGUACACACUACGAGCUGAUUAGUGAGAAGCAAAUGCCUUGCUGUGGCCUUCGAGGCCCUUGUUGAUCAGCCCGAAGAUGAGCUCAUUGGGCCCUCCCCCCACCAAGAGUCUCACCUCGCUGGGCAGCUCCCUCCUGCCAGGGCUCCCUCUUUCUGCCCUUUCUCUAACCUUCCUCCAGGUCCCAGAGCCAGUGACAGUGACGCCUCUUCCCUGCCACCACCUCAUGAAGCCUUCUCAGAUUUCUCCUGACCUCUCUCCUGCCCUCAGAGGCAGGACCCCACUUCGCGGCAUUCCUCAUUGUUCUCCUGGGUGAGGAAACUGAGGCACAGAGAGGCUAAAAAACCUGCCUGAGGCCGCAGAGUCGUGAAGUGAGAAGGGAAUAUGCUGGAACUCCAAAGGCCCAUGCUCCUCACCUCACCACUUCCCAGUCAACAUCCCCAAUGCUGAGACUCACCCAAAGACUGAAUCCAGCAUUGCCAGCCGCCUUCUCUCAGACGCCCAGCGCGGGCACACAGCUCCAGUCACGAGGGUCUGAAUGGAGCAAGGGAAGCAGAGCUUCAACUUGAGAGUGGCUUGACCUUAGCGCCAUACCUGGGGACCCGGUCCCUUCUCCAUCAAUGAAUGAUUGCUAUCUCCUAGAUGCCUUUCCUGGAUUAGCUCAGUGAAUCCUGCACCCUCUGUGGGGGCUGCCUUUUGUCUACUCUGCCUCCUCCCAUCACCUGCUGGCCGUCAGGGCACCUGAAGCCUUGUCAUUGAUUUGGUCCCUCUGUGACACACCUCUCUGGGCUUCUUUGUGCGGGGCUAGAGUUUCUCUCAUGGGAUGGUCUGGGUGGAGGGAGUUCACAUAAACAGAAGCAGAGCCAAGAGAGGCCCAGGGAAAAUAAAGGCUAUUAUAGGGUUCCUGGCUGCCGGCCAGUGAGUGGACCCCGGCCCUUUGCACACACUAGCAGCCCAGCCUUGUGCUCAGCACCUCCCUCACUGGAUUUUUUUACCUCUCUUACUGUCCUGCGAGGAUGCGCCAGGAAAGCUGGCAGCACUGGGCCAGAAAAUGCCUUAUGGGCCAGGCAUUGACCUAAACUCUCACCAACAGGCCUCAUUCUAUGGAAUCCUUGAAAGAGCUCUAGGAGUCAAGUUCCAAGGCUCCUGUUUUGUAGACUAGGACAACAAGCCUCAUGGAGAUCAAGCACCACCAGCUGAACCACCAGGAGAUGUGUGGCCUUGGGCACAGCCUGGCACAAAAGAAUACUCAUGAAAUGGUGGUUCCUGGGCCGGCCGAGUGGUUUAGUUGGUUAAGAGUGCAAGCUCUGAGCCGCACAGUCGCAGGUUCGAUU
Long non-coding RNA from Hipposideros armiger (great roundleaf bat), 1453 nucleotides. RefSeq lists it as uncharacterized. The record is from RefSeq and is a predicted model, not a curated record. NCBI's taxonomy places the organism in Eukaryota, Metazoa, Chordata, Mammalia, Chiroptera, Hipposideridae. The transcript has 3 exons.